CAAAAUUAGCAGGACUGUUGGGUUAGACUAUGGAGCCCAUAGGCUUUCAGCAAGGUGAGUGUCUCGCUUUGGAAUCGCCUGACUGCCUGGGAAAUCAGAUUGGCCAGGAAAAUGGAGUAGAGUACUUGAGAAGAGAACACACCUUAGAUCUUAAGAUGGCCUCUUCCUGAACAGCUGCUGGAGUGGGUGAAGAAGGGGAAGGCCACCUACUUAAAGCCUCUCUCUGUGCCCUCCCCCUGUCAUCUCUAGAGUGGACCUGGUUGUUCACUCCCUGAAGGAUGUGCCUACCAUACUACCUCCUGGCUUUACCAUUGGAGCCAUCUGCAAACGGGAAAACCCUUGUGAUGCUGUUGUUUUUCACCCAAAGUUUAUUGGAAAGACCCUGGAAACCUUGCCAGAGAAAAGUGCCGUGGGGACCAGCUCCCUGAGGAGAGUGGCGCAGCUACAGAGAAAGUUCCCUCACCUGGAAUUCAAGAGUAUUCGGGGAAACCUCAACACCCGCCUACGGAAGCUGGAUGAGCUGCAGGAGUUCAGUGCCAUUAUCCUGGCUGUGGCUGGCCUACAGCG
This 567-nucleotide long non-coding RNA is filed under the name Rattus norvegicus (Norway rat). RNAcentral's name for it is "long non-coding RNA NONRATT028470". The record is from RNAcentral. Lineage: Eukaryota; Metazoa; Chordata; Mammalia; Rodentia; Muridae.